Molecule: long non-coding RNA, 780 nt
Organism: Anguilla rostrata (American eel)
Lineage: Eukaryota; Metazoa; Chordata; Actinopteri; Anguilliformes; Anguillidae
Exons: 2
Source: RefSeq, a predicted model, not a curated record
UCUAAUUCUUUUUCAUCCCGUACUGCAAGUCUAUGCUUCAAGUCAAGGAAAGCUGAGGAUUUCGGAACAGUCAGUUUCGAUUUGAUAAAGGAUGAGAAACACUGGGAUCAGGAGGAGACAUUUAGUUCCGUUUUGUCUCUCAACGAGGAAGGCUGAAGAGACUGUGACUCACUGUCAGAUGUCUGCGACUGGGUGAUGAUCCUGGAGCGACUCUGGACUCCUUUAAAAUCCCCUCAGCCAUUUCAUGUUUACUGAAAGGAGUUUUAAUUUGCUGAGGUUUUAGAUGAAACCCUAAGAGAGCUGACACGAGAGGCAUAAUCACACUGACAUUUUUGGAGAUGUUAAGCCUGCAGAAGAUGCGUGAGCAAUCAAUGUUCAUUCAUUUCAUCACUGCAGCAUUGUUCAGAAGUGCAACAAAUUCACUUCCAUAUAGCUAAAAUGGAAUCACGCACAUUAUAGAGGAUACAUUUUGAAAAAGGGAAUUUAACACUGCUCCCAAUUUGCCCUUUUGGAUAGAAAAUCAUUUAAUUUACAGGCUAUAAACAGGGAACCUACUAUAUCUGCCCUGUUUUAGCACUACAAAUAAUAAACAAUUACAAAACGUUUUUUUCAGUUAGGUUAUUUGAAGCUUCUUUUUUAUACUUUUUAAGGUUAAUUUAACAAUCAGAUACCGUUUAAAGCAAUCAAUAUUAUAUAGAAAGGGUUUGUGCUCUCAUUUCAGUCCUUUGGAUUAAAACAGAGGUGUGCAUAUUUGGAACUGAAUUAAAAUGUAUAUCACUU